This 303-nucleotide ribosomal RNA is filed under the name Triticum aestivum (bread wheat). Its description in RNAcentral is "partial small subunit ribosomal RNA". Lineage: Eukaryota; Viridiplantae; Streptophyta; Magnoliopsida; Poales; Poaceae. The record is from RNAcentral.
AUGCUUCUGAACUUCCAAAAUGAUGUCUGCGUCAGGGAAGAACUCGCCCUGUAUUCAAUCCACGCCUACCGCCCUUUGACGGAAAGCGACCUUUCCAAGCCACAGAUCAGACAGAAAUCAAGGAACUUGAUCAAGGCUCACCUCAUAUGCUUCACCCAGCAAGUUAAAGUAGUACCCAACACCAGAGUAACAUUUUCAGCUGGGUUUUACACAAACAAUGCGGUUUGGGGUGUCCUGCUAGGAGCAGCUGCACCAAUUCUCAACCUGAAAGGGAUUAUAUAUGAUUUGUAUCAACCAAAUUGA